This 844-nucleotide long non-coding RNA is filed under the name Homo sapiens (human). Its description in RNAcentral is "novel transcript". Lineage: Eukaryota; Metazoa; Chordata; Mammalia; Primates; Hominidae. The record is from RNAcentral.
CUCAUUUUUUAGGAAGGAACCACAUGUGAAACCACUUACCUGUUUAACCCUAUGAACUUGAAGAGAACAUGUAAUGCCACUUAAAAUACCUAAGCUCGGGUUCUGCCUUCAGCGACUCCUGGUAGUAGUGCCCUUAUGAGCCAUUUAUCAAGAAGAAACCAGGGCACUUGGAAUGUUUUGAGGGAGGCAGAUCUGUCCCCGUCAUGGAGCACUGACUACCAUCUUCCCUGAACUCUUACGUGAGGAAGAACAAACCUCUAAGGUUGUUAGCCUCUAUUUUGUGAUCUCCUUAUUAGAGCAACUGAGCCUAUACCCUAACAAAUAGACAUUCAUAAGAUUUGCUGAUGGAUCAGAUGUGGAUGGGAGACAAAAAGAAGAGUUAAGGAUGGUUCUAAGGCUUUUGGCCUGAGCAAAAUGUGUCAUUUACUAAGAUGUAGAAGACUAUGGGAAGAACAUAUUUGGCAAGAAGAUCAAGAAUACAAUCUUGGGCAUGGCACACUGGAGAUGUCUAGUUGACAUAUCUUUUAAAAAUAAUUUUUCAUUAGCCAAACUAGUACUUGCUUUAAAAAAAAACCCACUAAGAUCUCUAGGUGCACUAAGCAUUGCACAAAACUAAAAGGAGAUACUCUCCUAUUUUCUAGUGGUUCACAAUUUAAUGUAAAUCCUACAAUGGGCUGAAUGUCAGAUCAAAAUUAUACCCCAUAUUUAGAAAUUUCUGUAGAGGAACCCAUUCAAGGUUUAAUUGAAAUGCCAUUAUUACUUAAGCUACUUUAUACAAAUUAUUCUGCUAGAAUACCUUUAUAAUUGUAAAGAUCUCAAAAUAUAGUUAUUUACUAUAUACAAA